CAAUUGAUAUCUUAAGAAUAAGAAUUGAUUUUUUAAAUCAAAUAUAGUAAAUUUCUAAUUACUUCAAUUGA
This 71-nucleotide transfer RNA is filed under the name Muscidifurax sinesensilla. RNAcentral describes it as "tRNA-Lys". The record is from RNAcentral. Lineage: Eukaryota; Metazoa; Arthropoda; Insecta; Hymenoptera; Pteromalidae.